CAGGACGAGCCGCAGACAAAACUCCUCAGACACCAGAUUAAAGAAGGAAGGAACUUUAUUCGGCAGACUUGCGUCUCAAAAGCCGAGCUCCCCAAAAUUAUAUGAAAGAAAAAAAAUCUCAUUUUACCAGGGAGAAACUGAACCAUUCUGACCUCUGGUUAUGGCUGUCUUCCAAACAGUUUAUAUAACCUGUCUGGGAAAUUGGAGAUUGUUCAUAUCUAACUCUGCAGUUACAAAAGGACCAUGUCUCAUGGAAUUAUCCACGCUCAGAUCUUCCGCAUGGCUCAAAACCAUUUUUGGGAUAUGGCAAUGUCAAGAUAACCCCCUAUUCUGUCAAGUCUUUAAACAAAUUUU
Molecule: non-coding RNA, 354 nt
Filed under: Pongo abelii (Sumatran orangutan)
Lineage: Eukaryota; Metazoa; Chordata; Mammalia; Primates; Hominidae
Source: RNAcentral